AGGGUCCCCUCCCCCCGCCCGCCCACUUGGGCGAGGCAACGCGCGAGACAGAAACAAACGAACACACAAAAAAAGCGCGCGGGGGCCUCGCGGAGAAGAGCACCGCGUGGAGGGGUGGGGGUGGAGUCACAACCAGCAGCUCCCGCUUCAAACAGCUCCCGUCUCGUCGAGCCCAGUUUGCCCGGGGGCCAAGCAACUUCUGGGAAGCUGCAUCUUCUGCGAUCAGUUUAGUUUUACACAAAGGUUUUGGGGAAAAGUAUCAGUUUGUAUAGAAAGACAGAUCUCUUCUUAAGAACAGAAAGAAAGAAACAUAUUAGGUACCUUAACUCUAAAUCUGGAUCUUCUAAAGCUGCUUUAGUGUUUCAAUUGUCCUCUUUACCCAGGAGUUCCCAACCUUUUAAAACAAGUGUACCUCUUCUGUCACAAACCUUCAGCUCAGCAUUGCAUCCUAGAUGUUUGUCUCCUGUUGCAGCUUUAUAAACACACAGAACUAGCAGAGCAAAGACUGCAAGAACUGCAAAAGAAAUUUCAAGAACAUCACAUUUAAAGAAAGAUGGAGAAACAAGGCGAUACUGUAAUUUCUACUCUUCAAGUUCAAGUGGAUGAUGUAAAAAAUGUCAUGACUCAAAAUAUUGAGAAGGUUUUGGAAAGAGAAGAAAGACUGACUGAACUGGCUGACCGAAGCAGUGACCUUGAAACAGUGGCUCAUGGUUUCCAAAAAACUACUAUGAAGAUUUCAAGGAAGAUGUGGUGGAAAAAUACCAAAAUGAUUAUAAUUAUUGUAGUAAUUCUUAUCAUCAUCGUAAUUUUCAUCGUCCUUUUAGCCACAGGUGUUAUUCCAACAUAAAGAACUUUUAAGCAGCUACUAGCAAUUUUCUGUAAAAAUGUCUAUAUUCAGAAGUAUUUACAUUUAGGUUUUUUUUAAAAAAAACAAUAAAUGUAGUUAACAGCAA
Molecule: long non-coding RNA, 953 nt
Organism: Hemicordylus capensis (graceful crag lizard)
Lineage: Eukaryota; Metazoa; Chordata; Lepidosauria; Squamata; Cordylidae
Exons: 7
Source: RefSeq, a predicted model, not a curated record